RNAcentral lists this long non-coding RNA (1199 nucleotides) under Danio rerio (zebrafish). Its description in RNAcentral is "lncRNA (ENSDARG00000117455.1)". Lineage: Eukaryota; Metazoa; Chordata; Actinopteri; Cypriniformes; Danionidae. The record is from RNAcentral.
GGAAUAAUAUGAGGGCUGUAAAUAAAAGAAAGCAGGUUGUUGGAUGGAAAUAGCACAGAACGUUUCAUGCGCAGCAAUUUGUGAGUGAAAGUCGUUUCAAAGUAAAUCAUACGGCAUUAUUUCUUUGACUGAAAGCGUAUGAGCUUUAUGAUCAGAAACCAAGGUCAGAGAGCUGAUAGUAUUCUGCUGCUGUUUCAGGCAAAUGGCUCUGAAUGCAAAGCGUUUGUAUGACAGUCUGAGCCAAACUAGGCAGAUAUUAAAACCAAUGACUUCACUGGACUACACAAAUCAGAGAAGAGAUGUGUGUGUGUGUGUGUGUGUGUGCAUGUGUGUGUGUGUGUGUGUAGAGGUUAUAAGAUAAAGGGGGAACAGUACACAGAUCUGACCGGAUCUGACACACUACAUAGAGACAGAAGAGCGCCAUCAUGUGGACAACACAUGUGUAAACAGGAAACAGCAGCAGUUCUGUUUAUUAAUGUAACCUACGCACAAAACAACCUGACAGGAGAAUGUGCGCAGCUGAAGUCAUCCGGAUCCGCCUGACUUCUGCCUGCCCUUCAGACAGACACUCCUCGCUCCUCGCGGUUUUGUGUGAUCACCGGUAAAUCUUUAUUAAUUUUAAUUGGAGCCUCCAUUUAAAAGAGCAAUUAAAGCGGAUUAAUCGAGCCCAUCCCGUAUAAUGUCUUCUGUUAAUUAGUUUGUCAGCACUGUUUUAAUAUCGCCUAAUGACUUCAUAUUUCAGGCCUGACAUUAAAGAGAUGCUGCAAGAAAAGAAAUGGGCUUAUCUGGAUGCGGGGCUGUAAGGGGAGAUGAUGUCCUCCGGGCCCUGGACAAGGUCAGGGACCGCGAAGGGCCACAGGGACACGCUGGAGAGCACGGAGGUAACAGUCUGUCAUGGACGAGGAGCCAGCCGAGUGUGUAACGACACGGGAACGAGACGCUGGCCACACAUUCACAUCACGGCGGAGGGGGAAAUCUUCCUCUGGCCUGCUGGCGGUGUGUUUUACAACAUGUGUAAAGUCUUCACCAGCUUGCAAGACAGGAGAUGUUUCUUCAGGGAUCACGGAAAAGCUGGAAAACACACCAGUUCUAAAGGCAGAACGAAAAGACUGUUUGAUGAUGACGACAUUAAGGGAGAGUUCACCCUCAACUCAAAUUUCUAUAUUCUACAGUGUAAAAAUGAUUGACUUUACUUAAAA